CGGGGCAUGACAAGGAGGCGGGACUGGACAUAUAGAGGCGGGGUAUGACAAGGAGGCGGGACUGGACAUACAGAGGCGGGGCAUGACAAGGAGGCGGGACUGGACAUAUAGAGGCAGGGUAUGACAAGGAGACGGGACUGGACAUAGAGGCAGGGUAUGACAAGGAGGUGGGACGGGACAUACAGAGGCGGGGCAUGACAAGGAGGCGGGACUGGACAUAUAGAGGCAGGGUAUGACAAGGAGGCGAGAAUGGACAUACAGAGGCGGGGUAUGACAAGGAGGUGGGACGGGACAUAAAGAGGCGGGGCAUGACAAGGAGGCGGGACUGGACAUAGAGAGGCGGGGCAUGACAAGGAGGCGGGACUGGACAUAGAGAGGCGGGGCAUGACAAGGAGGUGGAACUGGACAUAUAGGGCAGGGCAUGACAAGGAGGCGGGACUGGACAUACAGAAGCGGG
This is a long non-coding RNA of Brienomyrus brachyistius, 457 nucleotides long. RefSeq lists it as uncharacterized. The transcript is spliced from 3 exons. The record is from RefSeq and is a predicted model, not a curated record. Lineage: Eukaryota; Metazoa; Chordata; Actinopteri; Osteoglossiformes; Mormyridae.